Molecule: unclassified non-coding RNA, 362 nt
Filed under: Hevea brasiliensis (rubber tree)
Lineage: Eukaryota; Viridiplantae; Streptophyta; Magnoliopsida; Malpighiales; Euphorbiaceae
Source: RNAcentral
CUUGCCGCCAUCUUCGACGAUGACGUAAUCGAGAAGCUCGAUAUCGCCCAUCUCCGGAUCGACCGCGACGACCGCAAUGUGGGAGGCGUAGCUGAACGUGCCGGAGUCACGCACCGGNNCACUUCGAGGCCGCGCGGAUCGACCGAAGGUGGAAGAUCCUGCGGGCGGCGAUACCAGGUGUAGGCGACUUCUUGCAGGGUGACGCUGCCGUUCGGUCCGACCACGGCGCCGUCGCUGAGCUUUACGUUGCUGAUAUCGGUCUGCAGCAGAUGCGCGCCGAUUCCGAGUGCGAGCUUGCCGAGUUCGCGCGACGCCGUCGCGACCGCGCCGCCGGCCAUCACCGCACAGCGCGAUCCCCAGCG